Molecule: long non-coding RNA, 798 nt
Filed under: Triticum aestivum (bread wheat)
Lineage: Eukaryota; Viridiplantae; Streptophyta; Magnoliopsida; Poales; Poaceae
Source: RNAcentral
AUUUGAAAUCACUGCUUAUAUACCUGGUAUUGGCCAUAAUUUACAAGAACAUUCUGUAGUAUUAGUAAGAGGAGGAAGGGUUAAGGAUUUACCCGGUGUGAGAUAUCGCAUUAUUCGAGGAACCCUAGAUGAUGUCGUAGUAAAGAAUCGUCAACAAGGGCGUUCUACUGCGUUGUAGAUUCUUAUCCAAGACUUGUAUCAUUUGAUGAUGCCAUGUGAAUCGCUAGAAACAUGUGAACUGUAUGGCUAACCCAAUAACGAAAGUUCCGUAAGGGGACUGGAGCAGGCUACCAUGAGACAAAAGAUCCUCUUUCUAAAGAGAUUUGAUUCGGAACUCUUAUAUGUCCAAGGUCAAUAUGGAAAUUCUUUCAGAGGUUUUCCCUUACUUUGUCCGUGUCAACAAACAAUUCGAAAUACCUCGACUUUUUCAAAACAGGUCCGAGUCAAAUAGCAAUGAUUCGAAGCACUUCUUUUUCCAUUACACUAUUUCGGAAACCUAAGGACUCGAUCGUAUGGAUAUGGAAAAUACAGGAUUUCCGAUCCUAGUGGGAAAAGGAGGGAAACGGAUACUCAAUUUAAAGUGAGUAAACAGAAUUCCAUACUCGAUCUCAUAGAUCCCUAUAGAAUUCUGUGGAAAGCCGUAUUCGAUGAAAGUCGUAUGUACGGCUUGGAGGGAGAUCUUUCCUAUCUUUCGAGAUCCACCCUACAAUAUGGGGUCAAAAAGCCAAAAAAAUAAGUGAUUUUAGCCCUUAUAAAAAGAAAACAGAUUUUGAACCUCUUUCACGCUCAUGUCACGUC